Molecule: long non-coding RNA, 338 nt
Organism: Cucumis melo (muskmelon)
Lineage: Eukaryota; Viridiplantae; Streptophyta; Magnoliopsida; Cucurbitales; Cucurbitaceae
Exons: 3
Source: RefSeq, a predicted model, not a curated record
CUCGAGAGGAGGAUGAGGAGAUUAAAUUCAAUUGUGCUAAUUACCAGCUUGAAAUAAUGAGAUGCUUGAGAGAACUCAAUGUUAACAACACUAUUGGAUGGAUUGGAACAUCAAAUAUUGGAGGCUGGAGCAGAUAUUUGGGUUACUUCAUCUUACCAGAUUGGCUCUGCUAUUGGUGGUACUUAUUUUAGCUCAUGAAUUGGAGGUAGUAGAGGAUGCAGAAUGCAAGUUUAUUUGAAGCCAAGUUUCAUUCAAGGUCAUUGAGUUCGGUUGAUAGAAGUAAUGUUUUGUAUAUGACAAUAUCGAACAAAUAUGUAAAGUUUUCGAAAUGUUGAUAC